UGGGGAAUUUUGGACAAUGGGCGAAAGCCUGAUCCAGCAAUGCCGCGUGUGUGAAGAAGGCCUUCGGGUUGUAAAGCACUUUUGUCCGGAAAGAAAUCCUUGGCUCUAAUACAGUCGGGGGAUGACGGUACCGGAAGAAUAAGCACCGGCUAACUACGUGCCAGCAGCCGCGGUAAUACGUAGGGUGCAAGCGUUAAUCGGAAUUACUGGGCGUAAAGCGUGCGCAGGCGGUUUGCUAAGACCGAUGUGAAAUCCCCGGCUCAACCUGGAACUGCAUGGUGACUGGCAGGCUAGAGUAUGGCAGAGGGGGGUAGAAUUCCACGUGUAGCAGUGAAAUGCGUAGAAAUGUGGAGGAAUACCGAUGGCGAAGGCAGCCCCCUGGGCCAAUACUGACGCUCAUGCACGAAAGCGUGGGGAGCAAAACAGGAUUAGAUACCCCUGGUAGUCCACGCCCUAAACGAUGUCAACUAGUUGUUGGGGAUUCAUUUCCUUAGUAACGUAGCUAACGCGUGAAGUUGACCGCCUGGGGAGUACGGUCGCAAGAUUAAAACUUAAAGGAAUUGACGGGGUC
This 571-nucleotide ribosomal RNA is filed under the name uncultured bacterium. RNAcentral describes it as "partial 16S ribosomal RNA". It matches the Rfam family "Bacterial small subunit ribosomal RNA", at positions 355 to 920 of the family's 1533-position model. The record is from RNAcentral.